CUAACACAUGCAAGUCGAGCGGAAACGAGUUAUCUGAACCUUCGGGGAACGAUAACGGCGUCGAGCGGCGGACGGGUGAGUAAUGCCUAGGAAAUUGCCCUGAUGUGGGGGAUAACCAUUGGAAACGAUGGCUAAUACCGCAUAAUACCUACGGGUCAAAGAGGGGGACCUUCGGGCCUCUCGCGUCAGGAUAUGCCUAGGUGGGAUUAGCUAGUUGGUGAGGUAAUGGCUCACCAAGGCGACGAUCCCUAGCUGGUCUGAGAGGAUGAUCAGCCACACUGGAACUGAGACACGGUCCAGACUCCUACGGGAGGCAGCAGUGGGGAAUAUUGCACAAUGGGCGCAAGCCUGAUGCAGCCAUGCCGCGUGUGUGAAGAAGGCCUUCGGGUUGUAAAGCACUUUCAGUCGUGAGGAAGGUAGUGUAGUUAAUAGCUGCAUUAUUUGACGUUAGCGACAGAAGAAGCACCGGCUAACUCCGUGCCAGCAGCCGCGGUAAUACGGAGGGUGCGAGCGUUAAUCGGAAUUACUGGGCGUAAAGCGCAUGCAGGUGGUUUGUUAAGUCAGAUGUGAAAGCCCGGGGCUCAACCUCGGAAUAGCAUUUGAAACUGGCAGACUAGAGUACUGUAGAGGGGGGUAGAAUUUCAGGUGUAGCGGUGAAAUGCGUAGAGAUCUGAAGGAAUACCGGUGGCGAAGGCGGCCCCCUGGACAGAUACUGACACUCAGAUGCGAAAGCGUGGGGAGCAAACAGGAUUAGAUACCCUGGUAGUCCACGCCGUAAACGAUGUCUACUUGGAGGUUGUGGCCUUGAGCCGUGGCUUUCGGAGCUAACGCGUUAAGUAGACCGCCUGGGGAGUACGGUCGCAAGAUUAAAACUCAAAUGAAUUGACGGGGGCCCGCACAAGCGGUGGAGCAUGUGGUUUAAUUCGAUGCAACGCGAAGAACCUUACCUACUCUUGACAUCCAGAGAACUUUCCAGAGAUGGAUUGGUGCCUUCGGGAACUCUGAGACAGGUGCUGCAUGGCUGUCGUCAGCUCGUGUUGUGAAAUGUUGGGUUAAGUCCCGCAACGAGCGCAACCCUUAUCCUUGUUUGCCAGCACUUCGGGUGGGAACUCCAGGGAGACUGCCGGUGAUAAACCGGAGGAAGGUGGGGACGACGUCCAGUCAUCAUG
RNAcentral lists this ribosomal RNA (1169 nucleotides) under Vibrio sp. UST061013-033. Its description in RNAcentral is "bacterial SSU rRNA". It matches the Rfam family "Bacterial small subunit ribosomal RNA", at positions 48 to 1197 of the family's 1533-position model. Lineage: Bacteria; Pseudomonadati; Pseudomonadota; Gammaproteobacteria; Vibrionales; Vibrionaceae. The record is from RNAcentral.